UUGUUUAGUGAUUGUGCCUAUUAUGAAAAAUUGUAAAAAGAUUGUAUUAGUUUGGACUUUCCAUAACGAACAGUCAAUUUUUAUUUUCAUCAGCCAACACAAAUUACAUGUUGCUGAACCACAGAAGUGAUGCCUUGCUAACUAGUAGCUACUUACAAUAGCACAAGCAUUGCUGUUCUUUUCGACUAACUUACACAGUUAUGUAGCUAAUGUGAAAUUUUGUGAUGUUCCGAUAGUUUUGCAGCUCAUCUCUUUGGAAGAUUUGUGUGCAAGCAGAUAUAUAAGUUGGAAAAACGCUGUCCUGUGUUCCUGCUUGCUGCUUCUCAAUGACUUGGUUGUAUCAUUGGCAGUCAUGCCCUACUCGUCCUAUGAUCUACCUACUGAGGAGAAGAUGUUGUCCAUUUGCCCAAGUCGCCAUCCUAAGCAACUUUGAACUGAAUGCUCCUUCAGAAUGCCCUCUUCUAGUUCAUCGGAGUGGGGAUACACACAUCUGCUGAUCCUCACGGUUUUAGACAGUCAUGACAUGGAUAUGAGGAAUUUAUGCCGAUGCUUCUCGCGAAGAUCACGAUCAUCAUCACAAGAAAUGACUUGUGCUCAUCUGACUAGAGGCUGAACAAGAUUUUCUUGCAUCUCUCUGGUUGUUCAAGGAUGCAUGGAACAAAUCAGGUUCAAGCAUAGAAAUUUCCCGAGAAAUCUUGCUCCUAUUAAGAUACUGACAGUUAAAUAGGCCAGUGCUUGGUUUAAUAUAUAAUUCUGAUGACUAAUCAAGCACGAGAAGUACGACAAAUUUUGGGGGUGAUGACGUGAUGUUACUGAUGUGUAGAAUAGCAACACCCCAUUUGAAUGUUGAAGAGAGUGACCUUCUUUAAGUCAUCGGUGCCAUCCAUCUUUCAAUCAUCAAUCAGCCAUUUCAACGGCUCCUGGAGUUGAGCAGUUAAAGCGCAUGUAAAGACUUAAGGAGAGAUAAGAAUUCCUUUCACGCUGGCUCAUCGGUCAAGGAUUCUGAAAAACUAACCAAGAUUGUGCGCGCAUGUAGGAGAGAUCAAAUAAGAGCUCGGCAAGUCGACAAUACGCUUCUGAUGUGCAAGCAAGAAGCAAAGAAACCGAUUGGGAGAGAGCGUGCCAUAGCAAACGCGAGAAGCCGGAGGCGAUGGACGUUGUUGUGUUGCACUGUGAAAUGAAAUAGACAGAGUAAUCUAUGUUUGGUGAAAUUCAUAAGCAGUAGUAGCCUCAGCUCUGUAAUUUCUGUUAAAUGAGUUGUGAACGGCACUUUAUGCUUUGUUGCAAUUGAGUAGUAAUCUGAACUCUGUGCUCCAAUUA
Molecule: long non-coding RNA, 1320 nt
Organism: Panicum virgatum (switchgrass)
Lineage: Eukaryota; Viridiplantae; Streptophyta; Magnoliopsida; Poales; Poaceae
Exons: 3
Source: RefSeq, a predicted model, not a curated record